UACGGGGGGGGCAAGCGUUGUUCGGAAUUACUGGGCGUAAAGGGCUCGUAGGUGGCCAACUAAGUCAGACGUGAAAUCCCUCGGCUUAACCGGGGAACUGCGUCUGAUACUGGAUGGCUUGAGUUCGGGAGAGGGAUGCGGAAUUCCAGGUGUAGCGGUGAAAUGCGUAGAUAUCUGGAGGAACACCGGUGGCGAAGGCGGCAUCCUGGACCGAUACUGACACUGAGGCACGAAAGCUAGGGUAGCGAACGGG
Molecule: ribosomal RNA, 253 nt
Filed under: uncultured bacterium
Lineage: Bacteria
Description: partial 16S ribosomal RNA
Rfam family: Bacterial small subunit ribosomal RNA
Source: RNAcentral